Molecule: ribosomal RNA, 485 nt
Filed under: uncultured bacterium
Lineage: Bacteria
Description: partial 16S ribosomal RNA
Source: RNAcentral
GUAGUUAGCCGGGGCUUCCUCACAGAUUACCGUCACUUCCUUCGUCAUCUGCGACAGAGGUUUACAACCCGAAAGCCUUCUUCCCUCACGCGGCGUUGCUGGGUCAGGCUUGCGCCCAUUGCCCAAUAUUCCCCACUGCUGCCUCCCGUAGGAGUCUGGACCGUGUCUCAGUUCCAGUGUGGCCGAUCAGCCUCUCAGCUCGGCUACCCAUCGUCGACUUGGUGGGCCGUUACCCCGCCAACUAUCUAAUGGGACGCGAACCCCUCCUAAAGCGGAUUGCUCCUUUGACCUCAUCCUGAUGUCAGGUCGUGGUCUUAUGCGGUAUUAGCACACCUUUCGAUGUGUUAUUCCACUGUCUGGGACAGAUUGUUCACGCGUUACUCACCCGUCGCCGCUCGAACAGAAACCGAAGCCUCUGUCCUCGCUCGACUUGCAUGUGUUAAGCACGCCGCCAGCGUUCGUCCUGAGCCAGAAUCAAACUCUGA